UACGAAGGGGGCUAGCGUUGCUCGGAAUCACUGGGCGUAAAGCGCACAUAGGCGGAUCGUUAAGUCAGGGGUGAAAUCCUGGAGCUCAACUCCAGAACUGCCUUUGAUACUGGCGACCUUGAGUUCGGGAGAGGUGAGUGGAACUGCGAGUGUAGAGGUGAAAUUCGUAGAUAUUCGCAAGAACACCAGUGGCGAAGGCGGCUCACUGGCCCGAUACUGACGCUGAGGUGCGAAAGCGUGGGGAGCAAACAGG
This 253-nucleotide ribosomal RNA is filed under the name uncultured bacterium. Its description in RNAcentral is "partial 16S ribosomal RNA". It matches the Rfam family "Bacterial small subunit ribosomal RNA", at positions 524 to 776 of the family's 1533-position model. The record is from RNAcentral.